This 508-nucleotide ribosomal RNA is filed under the name uncultured bacterium. RNAcentral describes it as "partial 16S ribosomal RNA". It matches the Rfam family "Bacterial small subunit ribosomal RNA", at positions 28 to 507 of the family's 1533-position model. The record is from RNAcentral.
GACGAACGCUGGCGGCGUGCCUAAUACAUGCAAGUCGAACGCUUCUUUCCUCCCGAGUGCUUGCCCUCAAUUGGAAAGAGGAGUGGCGGACGGUUGAGUAACACGUGGGUAACCUACCCAUCAGAGGGGGAUAACACUUGGAAACAGGUGCUAAUACCGCAUAACAGUUUAUGCCGCAUGGCAUAAGAGUGAAAGGCGCUUUCGGGUGUCGCUGAUGGAUGGACCCGCGGUGCAUUAGCUAGUUGGUGAGGUAACGGCUCACCAAGGCCACGAUGCAUAGCCGACCUGAGAGCGUGAUCGGCCAGCUUGGGACUGAGACACGGCCCAGACUCCUACGGGAGGCAGCAGUAGGGACUCUUAGGCAAUGGAGGAAAGUCUGACCGAGCACAGCCGCGUGAGUGAAGAAGGUUUUCGGACCGUAAAACUCUGUUGUUAGAGAAGAACAAGGACGUUAGUAACUGAACGUCCCAUGACGGUAUCUAAACAGAAAGCCACGGCUAACUACGUG